RNA transcript from Spinacia oleracea (spinach), 2313 nucleotides. RefSeq lists it as uncharacterized. The record is from RefSeq and is a predicted model, not a curated record. NCBI's taxonomy places the organism in Eukaryota, Viridiplantae, Streptophyta, Magnoliopsida, Caryophyllales, Amaranthaceae. The transcript is spliced from 5 exons.
CAAGAAUCAGAACCCCCGUCUACCCCCCUUUGUCUUCUUCCUCUUUCUAUUUUUUUUCUUUGUUCCUUCUUUGCUCCCAUCAGCUUUCAAUCCGCAGCUGCUCCUCAUUAACAAUCAUCGCCGUUCAUCUUUAAUCAUCGUCACGCAUCAUCAUCAUCAUCAACGUCGUCCAUCAUCCUCGUCCAAUUCAUUAACGAUCAUCAAUCAUCACCCACAAUCAUCGUCGUUCAUCAAUCAUCACCAUCCAAUCGCGGCCGUGGAAUUCGAAUAGUACGGCGAUGAAUCGAGGCCACCAAAACAAACCACCAAGGAAGUUAGGGUUAGAGCAUGUCCUCAAGAAAGAAUAAGUCGGUGAAGUAGGACAAGGGUAUGUCCAGUACGUUCUAAUCGGCCAACAAACACGGAACCUUGGUCUGUACUGUCUAACUUGGAUACGCUUGUAGAUGUUGUGAAGGGACUUUCACUAGACAAAAAGGAACUUAUUACUAAUUACGGUUUUGGAGCUUUGCAUGAAUUGAAAUGUAGAACUGUAAGAAAAUCAAUGUGCAAAUGGAUCAUAGACCGCUUUGAUCCGGACAGUAGCACACUAGCUAUCAACAAUGUUGAAACAGUUGUGGCUCCAAAGCAUGUAGAGUACCUACUUGGUUUCCAAGACGUUGGGUUUGAUAUCUUAGAGAAAGAACUUCCAGGUCAAUGGGAUGAAGAGUUCAUUUCCUUUGCCACUAAGACCUCUGCCGACUUGUCCACCGAUGUUAGGAGAUUGGAACACACGGAUAAGCUUUUCAAACAAGCUUUUACUAUGUUCUUCAUUGCAAAGUUUUCUCCACCUUAUAAAAGAUCCAGAGAGAGUGUACUGCACCUUAUUGCUCACCCACACAAUGUUGGUCCCUGGAAUUGGGCAAAGUUCAUUCUUGAAAAUACGUUGGCUGCAGUUGCAGGGUUUAAUGCUGCUGAUAGGAAAACUGAGUUGGGAGGGUACCCUCUAUUAUUGAUGGUAAGGUCCUGCCUCGUUACUCCCAGGUUACGUUUUGAGAUUUAGUUGGAUACCACCAACUGUGCAUAUGGUUAUGUCCAUCUAAUAUCUAACUAUAAUACUCACUAAUAUAUGACGAUGCAUUUGUCUUUCCAUGUGUAUGCUAGGGUCAGUUAAACUUUCAUAUGUUCUUUGUAGGCCUUGUUUUGUGAGUACUCUUACAAACUCAAUUGCCCCUUUGGAGUUAUGCAACACCUAGGAUUAGGGACUAGAAUGAUAAAUCUACCAAAUUGUUGGAUACUUUUGUUUUAUCCUCCCCGGAUGGCUACAUGACAGAGAACAUAAUGCAGUAUACCGAGGAAAGGAAGGCGGUGAUCACCAAGAAAGUGACCAUGGGCCAUGAUACAAAAAUAGAGUUCUUGUUUGUUCUUGUCAAAGGCAGGUGUGAAGGGCUACGAAAUAGUUUAAACUGAGUGUAUGAUGUGAUUGAGGCAAAGUCAAAAGGCGUAGGUGAAUACCGCGGUGGUGAAGACUACGAAGACACCAAUGUAGUUGAAUCCUCCCCUCCCGAAGAUGAUGAUGACCCCAACAACAAUCCAAGUGGGGUGGAAUGUAGGUUUCCAAUGGACGGGACGAGUAACCUCCCAAGGGAGGUGAAGAGUGCCGGUGGCAAGGCAGUGAACAACCCUGUGCGAAGACAGUUGCGGGAACUUAGCGCGGAGAGUAAAGAAGAUUACACUGAAACUGAGGAUGACACUGAGGAUAAACUUAGUCGUCUGAUAAGGAAAACACCUUUACUGCGUGGAAAGUUAUACUCAUAUCACGAGGAGGAGAAGGAAAAGGAGGACAAGCGGAGGAUUCGACAGGAAAAAGAGUGAGAUUUGAUACGCACGUGAAUGAGAUGUUUCAGGCUGACCCGGAUUCUGUCAUCAUUGCGACAAACGAUGAAGAUGAAAGCAAUGAGGAUGAUGAUGAUGCUACAAAAAUCGAUGACAUUGAAAACGAUGAAUAUCUCGUAAUAGAGUCUAAACCGGUGAAAACGAGUGAAAUAGUUACAAGGAAGAGGAAAACAUUAUCUUCUAUACUCGAAAAAAGAUCAUCAGGCGAAGCAAAGGUACCAAAUUAAAUUAGUAGUUCAUUGUAGUCCUUGGUAUAGUCUUGCUUAAAAUAAUAUAGGGAAGUGUCCUUAACCCUUAUGUACCCACCAAAGGAAAAGGGUCACAUCUAUAUUAAUAAUUUCUUGGUACAAUGAAUAUUUCAUGCUUUGGUAAGUGUCCUUUAACUUUAUUCGGUACCUACCACUACUAGAAAAAUGACAUUUAACGACGAACAAUUUCGUC